RNAcentral lists this ribosomal RNA (393 nucleotides) under uncultured bacterium. Its description in RNAcentral is "partial 16S ribosomal RNA". It matches the Rfam family "Bacterial small subunit ribosomal RNA", at positions 523 to 918 of the family's 1533-position model. The record is from RNAcentral.
AUACGGAGGAUGCAAGCGUUAUCCGGAUUUAUUGGGUUUAAAGGGUGCGUAGGCGGGACUGUAAGUCAGGGGUGAAAUACUGCAGCUUAACUGUAGCAUUGCCUUUGAAACUGCCGUUCUUGAGUACAGUUGAGGUAGGCGGAAUGUGGUGUGUAGCGGUGAAAUGCAUAGAUAUACCACAGAACGCCGAUUGCGAAGGCAGCUUACUAAGCUGUUACUGACGCUGAGGCACGAAAGCGUGGGGAUCAAACAGGAUUAGAUACCCUGGUAGUCCACGCUGUAAACGAUGAUUACUGGUUGUUAGCGAUAUAUAGCUAGUGACUGAGCGAAAGCAUUAAGUAAUCCACCUGGGGAGUACGUCGGCAACGAUGAAACUCAAAGGAAUUGACGGGU